AUGGGGAGCUCGGGGCCGGAGCCCUCAGGCCCCAAGGCUGGGCACACGGAAGAGCCAGGUCUGGCAGCACGGAGACCUGGCACCGUCCCGCCUCGUCCUCGCGGGGACGAGGCCCCGUGUUUGCUUUGGGGGUGCGGAGGGGAGGCUUCGGCCCUUCCGCCAGCGCUGGCCGGGGCGGCUGCAGCCCCGCGGCCCUGGCUCCCCGCACGACCUGGCGGGAGCAGAUCUGCUCCGCUGCCGGCCCCGGCCCCGCGCCUGGACCGGCCCCAGGCCAGCAAAUCCCCCCGCAUCCCGCCCCGCAGCGCCGGCAAGGGGGAACCUCGUCCCCCGCCGCACGGGCUGUCUCGGAGGCACGCGGCGAUGCUAAGCCUGGAGGAGCGGGAUACAGAGGCAGCAAAGGCCAUUUUUGGGCCCCCACGGCUUUUCCAGGAACGCGCCGGGCAGUGUUUCCGUGAUCAAGAAUCACAUCGAAACAGCCAAAACCGAAGCCCAGCCGCCCGCCCGGCCCUUCCCAGCUGGGCCCCCGCGCAGCUGCGCCGCCGCCGCCGGGGCGUCCCCGGGCUAAAUUUACCCGGCGCUGGCCCAAACGCCCAAUCGGGGCCCCGCACGCGCGGCCCCCGGCGCCCCGAGAAAGGGAAGCGAAACCCGCUCCAGCGGGCGCUGACGUGGGCCAGAGCGGGCGCGCAGCGGGGCCACGGGGCCGCCGGCCCCCUCGCCCUCCUGAGCCGCCCCAGGCCCCUCGGCCGCCGGCCCCGCCGCCUCGGGGCCCCCCAGCAGCCCCCCGCCCCAGCUCCGGCGGCGGCGACCCGCUUUCGCCCCUUUUCGCAGCAAAACCGCGGCGAGCGCCUCCCCGAGCAGCGGGGUCGUUCGGCGCCGCUCGACCUGCAACAUAACGGACGGGGCAGGAUCAAGAGUCCCAAAAUACGGGGCAGAGCCAAACCCCCUGAAUCUUGGAAAAUAAAUACAGGUUGUGGCCAUUCCUGCCUUAAAACUCCCCAUGAACAGCUUGGGGUGGAAGCGCCAGCGGGAGGCUGA
Molecule: long non-coding RNA, 1035 nt
Filed under: Apteryx haastii (Great spotted kiwi)
Lineage: Eukaryota; Metazoa; Chordata; Aves; Apterygiformes; Apterygidae
Description: lncRNA (ENSAHAG00000018420.1)
Source: RNAcentral